UACGGAGGGUGCGAGCGUUGUCCGGAAUCAUUGGGCGUAAAGGGCGCGUAGGUGGCCCAGUAAGCGUGCGGUGAAAGCUCGGGCUCAACCCCGAGUCGGCCGUGCGAACUACUGGGCUGGAGCACUGUAGAGGCAGGCGGAAUUCCGGGUGUAGCGGUGGAAUGCGUAGAGAUCCGGAAGAACACCGGUGGCGAAGGCAGGUCUCUGGGCCAUUACGUGACACUGAGAAGCGAAAGCAUGGGGAGCGAACAGG
This 253-nucleotide ribosomal RNA is filed under the name uncultured bacterium. Its description in RNAcentral is "partial 16S ribosomal RNA". It matches the Rfam family "Bacterial small subunit ribosomal RNA", at positions 524 to 776 of the family's 1533-position model. The record is from RNAcentral.